Molecule: long non-coding RNA, 524 nt
Organism: Cucurbita pepo subsp. pepo (vegetable marrow)
Lineage: Eukaryota; Viridiplantae; Streptophyta; Magnoliopsida; Cucurbitales; Cucurbitaceae
Source: RefSeq, a predicted model, not a curated record
CACGGUUGGAUGUGCAUGCUGUUGUACAGAUUAUUAUAUGGAUGCUCGUUGUUUGUCACCAAUCCUAUUGAUCAUGAAAAUAUUUUUUUUUGGGAUUACGUAUGUACAUGUUAUGAUUUUUUGAAUUAAAUAAAUGUAGAGGGUUGCAUACUCUGUGUUUCGGGUAACCAACCACUAUUGGUUAGACGGGUGAUGGCUGAAAAUUAUUUUUGUGGCAAGGGUUAUACGCUGUGUGUAUCGGUAACCAACCACCAAUGGUCACUAAGGAGUGAUUGUUGAAAAUUACUUUUGUAGCAAGGAUGACACUGUGUAUAUCGGUAAGGGCAACGUUAUAGCAUGGGAGUGACGAGCAAGGUAGAAAGGACGGUCAUGGGAUAACUCAAAGUUUUAUGUUUUAAUUUACUAUUUAAGACGUUUCCACAUUGACCUGAUUCUAUUACUUUAGGUUUUGUUAGAACACCGCUCAUGUCAUUUUCUUAUCUUAAAUUAUUUAGAAAAGGGUACCCCGAGCACGAUUUUGAAAA